RNAcentral lists this long non-coding RNA (203 nucleotides) under Ficedula albicollis (Collared flycatcher). Its description in RNAcentral is "lncRNA (ENSFALG00000026202.1)". The record is from RNAcentral. Lineage: Eukaryota; Metazoa; Chordata; Aves; Passeriformes; Muscicapidae.
CCCCCCCCCCCCCCCCCCCCCCCCCCCCCCCCCCCCCCCCCCCCCCCCCCCCCCCCCCCCCCCCCCCCCCCCCCCCCCCCCCCGUGUGCUCCUUGGCUCAGGAGAUGUGCAGGGGGUUCCAGCCUGUGUGCUCCUUGGCUCAGGAGAUGUGCAGGGGGUUCCAGCCUGUGUGCUCCUUGGCUCAGGAGAUGUGCAGCAGUGCA